UGACCAGCGAGGGCAGGGGUUUGGCUGUACGGAAAUAGGAGGUAGCAGCCCCACCGGCAUUCGACUUCGCCACCACCAUCUUGAAAGAUCUACACACCGAGUCAUGGGGUGGGGAGUAUUCCCUGCCUUCAUAUAGGGAAAGCGUGGGCAGCCGGUUUCUCAAGACCUCAACACAGGCGAAAGGCGCGGGCAGACGGGUGCGCCUGCGUCUUCUUCCCGGGUCUAGUCCCCUGGCUUAGAGCGCUCAAGAGCCGCGAUUGCGCCUGCGCGACCUCUCCGUGUUCGUAGGUGCGGAUCUUGUGGCUCAAGGCAGCACUCUAUCCCCUCGCCUGCCCUUGCCCGGGGCCCGCUGCCCUUACUGUGUAAUAGCCAAAGGAGAGGAUGAUGACGGUGACCCAGAACAGACUGCUCCUCUGGAAAGCCUGUGCACCACAACUACUGAGCCUGCAUGCCACAACUACUGAAGCUCGUGUGCCUAGAGCCUGAGCUCUGCAACAAGAAAAGCCACUGCAAUGAGAAGCCCACGUACCACAACGAAGAGUAGCCUCCGCUCGCUGCAACUAGAGAAAGCCCGCGUGCAGCAAUGAAGACCCAACAACAAAGACCCAAUGCAGCCAAAAAUAAACAAAUUAAUUAAUUUUUAAAAAGCUCACUCCCGAGAAGAUCCUGAUGAAGGAAGAUUGUUUUGAAGCUUAACCAAAGGGCACUCUGCAGCACUAUUUCACAAAACCCCUACCCUGGGCUAUCUACCAGAGAAUGAUUGGUCAAAGAAAUUGGCAUUCCAAAGGACUAAUGUCAGCAUCAUGUGGCAUAAAUCAUUUUCCCUCUCCUCUUUUAAGCAA
Long non-coding RNA from Balaenoptera ricei (Rice's whale), 842 nucleotides. RefSeq lists it as uncharacterized. The record is from RefSeq and is a predicted model, not a curated record. NCBI's taxonomy places the organism in Eukaryota, Metazoa, Chordata, Mammalia, Artiodactyla, Balaenopteridae. The transcript has 3 exons.